This 219-nucleotide ribosomal RNA is filed under the name uncultured bacterium. RNAcentral's name for it is "partial 16S ribosomal RNA". It matches the Rfam family "Bacterial small subunit ribosomal RNA", at positions 125 to 334 of the family's 1533-position model. The record is from RNAcentral.
UCUACCCUAGGGUGGGGAAUAACUCCUCGAAAGGGGAGCUAAUGCCGACAUGUGCGCCACUCUCGCAAGGGAGUGAUGGAAAGCCGUACCGCGGGUGCGGCGCCCAAGGAUGAGCUCACGUCCUAUCAGCUUGUUGGCGGGGUAACGGCCCACCAAGGCUGCGACGGGUAGCUGGUCUGAGAGGACGACCAGCCACACUGGCACUGCGACACGGGCCAG